CAAGAACUCUCAAAAAUCUCUGCACUUUUUACUCCCCUUUUUCUCUUUUAAAGUGAAGAAUUUUUGCUUCCAAGGCUGAAUUGUAAUCGGAGAACGCACAAGCUCAUCAUCAAUCAUCAAUCAUCAAGGUAAUCAUGCUUAGAAAUCAAGACAUGCUCAUAUAGGAAUGCCUAGCUAUUAAAAUAAACAAGAUUUAGUAAUUUUUCUUUCAUAAACGAGUUGUUUAAUUUGUUUAGUUGUUUGUUGAGUUUGAUUCAAAAACAAUGUAAAUUAAAUAUUUCAACAUAAUAGUAAAUUUUCCUUUCA
This is a long non-coding RNA of Helianthus annuus (common sunflower), 306 nucleotides long. RefSeq lists it as uncharacterized. The record is from RefSeq and is a predicted model, not a curated record. NCBI's taxonomy places the organism in Eukaryota, Viridiplantae, Streptophyta, Magnoliopsida, Asterales, Asteraceae. The transcript is spliced from 3 exons.